GACGAACGCUGGCGGCGUGCCUAAUACAUGCAAGUAGAACGCACAGUUUAUACCGUAGCUUGCUACACCAUAAACUGUGAGUUGCGAACGGGUGAGUAACGCGUAGGUAACCUGCCUGGUAGCGGGGAUAACUAUUGGAAACGAUAGCUAAUACCGCAUAAUAUUAAUUAUUGCAUGAUAAUUGAUUGAAAGAUGCAAUUGCAUCACUACCAGAUGGACCUGCGUUGUAUUAGCUAGUAGGUGAGGUAACGGCUCACCUAGGCGACGAUACAUAGCCGACCUGAGAGGGUGAUCGGCCACACUGGGACUGAGACACGGCCCAGACUCCUACGGGAGGCAGCAGUAGGGAAUCUUCGGCAAUGGACGAAAGUCUGACCGAGCAACGCCGCGUGAGUGAAGAAGGUUUUCGGAUCGUAAAGCUCUGUUGUAAGAGAAGAACGGGUGUGAGAGUGGAAAGUUCACACUGUGACGGUAUCCUACCAGAAAGGGACGGCUAACUACGUG
RNAcentral lists this ribosomal RNA (504 nucleotides) under uncultured bacterium. RNAcentral describes it as "partial 16S ribosomal RNA". It matches the Rfam family "Bacterial small subunit ribosomal RNA", at positions 28 to 507 of the family's 1533-position model. The record is from RNAcentral.